UUCUAAUAUGGCAGAUA
RNAcentral lists this transfer RNA (17 nucleotides) under Atheta kochi. RNAcentral's name for it is "partial tRNA-Leu". Lineage: Eukaryota; Metazoa; Arthropoda; Insecta; Coleoptera; Staphylinidae. The record is from RNAcentral.